UACGAAGGGGGCUAGCGUUGCUCGGAAUUACUGGGCGUAAAGGGCGCGUAGGCGGCGGUCUCAGUCAGGCGUGAAAGCCCCGGGCUCAACCUGGGAAUUGCGCUUGAGACGGGAUUGCUUGAGGACGGGAGAGGGUGGUGGAAUUCCCAGUGUAGAGGUGAAAUUCGUAGAUAUUGGGAAGAACACCGGUGGCGAAGGCGGCCACCUGGCCCGUUUCUGACGCUGAGGCGCGAAAGCGUGGGGAGCAAACAGG
RNAcentral lists this ribosomal RNA (253 nucleotides) under uncultured bacterium. Its description in RNAcentral is "partial 16S ribosomal RNA". It matches the Rfam family "Bacterial small subunit ribosomal RNA", at positions 524 to 776 of the family's 1533-position model. The record is from RNAcentral.